This is a long non-coding RNA of Chroicocephalus ridibundus (black-headed gull), 6513 nucleotides long. RefSeq lists it as uncharacterized. The record is from RefSeq and is a predicted model, not a curated record. The transcript has 5 exons. Lineage: Eukaryota; Metazoa; Chordata; Aves; Charadriiformes; Laridae.
AUGAGGCGGGGGCUGGAAGGUCUCCCGAGCGCUCCUGCCCCUCAGCCGCGGCGGCGGGGGGGGAAGCGGAGGGCAAGGCAGAAGGCACGCCAUGGCUGUCCGCAGGGCGAUGCCGGCCAUCCCGGGCUUGGUAGGCCGGUGUAUGGCUGGGGGAGGCCGCUGGCUCGGUCAGGGCUGUGCCUGCGCCCGCCCGUGGGGGGUCCGAGGGGCAGCAUGGCGCUGCGUCCUGUGGGAGGCCCGGGCCGGCGGGGCUUCUGGCACUUUCACACCUCCGUUGCUGCGCAAAAAGGCACGAGGUGUGAAACGGCCUGUGCGACAUUGUCUGCUGUCUCCGCGGCCGCUCCGUGGCUCUGGCUCGUGGCUUUUGUUUCAGGGGUUUUGGGAAGUCGGUGCAAAGGAAAGGCGUUUGUCCAGCCCCCCGGCCUCGUCCUCCAUUGCCAGAAUGGUGGACGUUGUCUCUGGAAGUGCUCACCACCGGCCUGGAAGCAGUCCCUUGAUAACGGGGGAACCAUUGCAGAAACACAACACUUCUUGUGCUUCUGGGUCAGAGCACUGACCGAGGCCAAAGCCGCUCGCGGGUGGUGGUGUGGCAGUAACGCUUCUGCGGCGCUGUUUGUGCACGGGCUUCUCUUCACCUUUGGCUCCGUUUAAUCUCUUGUUUGGCAAAACAACACAGUGCUCCUCUCCUUUGUGUGUCUCCAUCUCCAGCUACUUGAACUGCCUCCAAAGACUGCUAAAGGCCACAGGAGGGCCGGGGAAGCAUCCUGGCAGCGUGUGCGCUCCGGCUGCCUGGAGGUGCUGCUCCAGGUACUCCUCCAAAAGGCGCAGCAGGACCUCCAGCCAUGCUCCUCAGCCCUGCAAGGGGCCAGGCCUUGUGUGUGAAGGACCACACGUCAGGGAGCAGGGCAGGGGAGCAGCAUGCCUUCCCUGCAUCCCUCUCCAGUGGCUGUGUGGCUCAGCAGCUCCCAGUGUUACCACUGACAGGGCGAGGCUGGCCCUCAAAGCUGGGGAGUGUAACCAGCUCCAGAAAACAUCCCUGCUCUUUCCCACAGGGAGCAGCAAAUCUGGCUGGCAGACGAAAAGCAAAUGUGGUUAUAUCUGAAAGCUGUUGAUUUCAACAGAGUGGCUCAAGAUUCAUGAACGCCUUUGUGGAGGAGCAUUACAGGCUACACGGGGGUAGCAGGAACUUGUUUUUAGGGUUCUGCUACUGUAGGGGAAUGGAAAUCAGAAUUUCACUUGCCCCAAACCAGUUUAUACUUGUCUCAUGGCAACUCAGACUUCUCCUCAUAAACAUGCCAAAGCAGGUGCGAUGAUUCAGCUUAUUGUGGUUUUAUGUCCUAAAGUGCUGGUCCCUUGCCACUACUCCUGCUUUUGAGAGUUUGAAACUGCUUGUGCUAUUAUCUCAAUUAUUUUUUUAAUUAUUUAUAUAGGCAGUGUGGGAAAAGCAAUGAGAGUGAUUGCACUUGAAAUGGGAAAUCUGCUUGGAUGAGUUUUUGAAUCACUUAUGCUCUGCCUAAACUACACCAUCAGGUAAAUGAAGGGGAAACUCCCAAAUGGCACAAAGCUUUCGCCUCCACCUCCGGCACCACAUGCCAGCCCUGGGAUCCCCAGCCGAGAUGUGGAGGAGCGCAACAAGGGCUCCAGUGCUUCCCACUGCCUCCUUUCAUCCCCCUGGAACGGUUUUCUUCCCCUGCAGUAUUUCAUAAGGCCUAGUGUCUGGCAAAAUAGCAACCAGAGUGAAAGAAGGCUGGUGUGAAAAUUUAUACAUUUUUUCUCAGGGAUGAUAACGCAGUAAGUGCUUUUAUCCCAAGAAUGUGUUUUUAUAAGUCAGAUAUCCCUGAAUGUCUUUGGAGCCCAGCAGGUUCUCUAGCAAUCCUGCUCUGCUUCCCAGAACUCUUUCUCCUUCCCUGAUAAUGUUGCUUUGUCACUGACUUCUGUGAGCCUUAUACAGGAGAUCAGAAAUUGCUUUCCAGAUGAUAACUGGAUAGUGAAGCUAUUAAAAGGGAAGCAAGUCCGCUAGAAGCUCAGUAAGGGCCCUGAUUCCCCAUAUUCAUUCUAAGCCUAUAUUUACCUGCUUUUCCCCUCUCCAGAUCCAUUUUCUAAGAAGGUACAGUACCCAAGUAUUGUAGCGUCAGAGAAAGAGGCUUGAUUUGUUCCACCCAUCCUGACAGUAAAAGGGUAAGGAAAAUGCGACAACAAAGAAUCAUAACUAAAACAAUUGCCCAGAACUGAAAUGCUUUUUCUCCCAGCAGGGCAGGAGCUUAGCACAACAAUAAAGUUGGAAGAACCUACCCCACUUCAGCUUUUAAACACUGCAGAAGGCUACAAGGGCACCGAACGGCAGAUAAACUCACAAAGUAGGGAGUAGCUGAUUUAAAUUCUGCAGACACUGCGUGUACUGCACGGCUGCGCAUGGAUUUUGGAGCCAUCCAUGAUGUGGGGAAAAUACUGCAUCCCUCAUGCAGUUUCUGGUUACCAAGGCAAAGGCAGGGUUACAUUAAACAAUGGAAGUAAUGAUAAAAAAUCUGAAGAUGUAUAAUUUCAUAAGUGCUUGAGUUGAAACGCAGGAAGUUUCUGGAGCCCCUGAAGAGGGAAUAGUUCCCAUCAGUAACGUUACAUUCACGCCUUCAACCUCGCAUCUUGAUAAACUGUCAUGCAUAAUCACCACGUUUAUUAAAAUGUCUUGUUACAGAAAGAUCACUUAGCUUUUAGUGGAAUUAUGUGACUUAUCUUUCAAAGGCCAUGCAGGUCUGAAAGCUGACAUUAUUCUGAAGCUUUAAUUAGGGAACAAGAAGCAAAACGAGUAAGCUCUUCCUCGUAAGCAGCCACUGCCGUUCCGGCAGCACUUCAUUUGCUGGAAACCUCCUCCACUUACGGCUGCACUUUCAGAUGUUCACAGACCUUACCUGCGUCUCCAGUCGAUGGACUUCCAGGCCAUGGGAUGCCACGUGUCGGGUCUUGUGACAGGAGAGUCCCUAAAGCCACCGGAGCGCGACUGACACAAUACAAUAGAGAAGAAGGAAGAGUCGAGUCAACUCUCAGCAGUUUCAGCUACGUUUCCAGGAAGAGACAAAGUCCUGGCUCUUCUCCAAGUUAUCCAUAGAGUGCUUGAGAGUAAGAUCAGAAAGCAUUCCUCCCGCAGCUGGGACACUUUCUAAGAAGGGAGAAAUUGAACAAAACACAACACGGAGCUGGUGUUAUCGCCCUGCAGACAAGCAAGGAGGCACAUGGCCUUGGAAAGGCCCAUGAAGUACUAAGUCAAGGUGAAGACAGCAGCAGAAUUUACAGGAUUUAAGAUUCUCGGCCCUGUAAAGCACAGCUGAGCAUUUGCAAGGAGCCAUUCUCCAUUUCUGAGACUGACGGUGGCUGUGAAGCUGGAUGGCCUAUGGAAGAUCCUAGAAUUUAAUUUCAAGCAUUUUAGGAGACUCUCAGCUUCCUGUUGCAGUUGGUGUGGGGAUGAACAUACCCUUGGAUUUGGGAAUUUUUCAAGAGUCGUUAUUCAGAUAGGAGUUGGUAACUAUGGUUUCAGACGUCUCCUCUGAGGGAUACUGCUGCUCACAGACAAAGGGAAGUCUGGUUUUGGAUCAUGAAGCAAGGGGCUUCGGGGUUGUGUGGUUAUGAACACAAGCACUAAGCUUUCAGAGAGGGAGUUAAAUAAAAACAUGCACAAAUCUACCUACAAGUAACCAUCGCAGGAAAUGUAAAGACUUGUCUGAGAAGUGGAGUUCCUUUGAACGCAAGCAGACAGUGGCUCACGUGUAUGGAGCAAAUGGGCCAAGUAAAGAGACAGAAUUACCUUCCCCUGUGAGCCCACAAGCCAAAACACAGCUGGUAGCACUAUUAGUCCUGUAAAGCCUGGCAGUCUUCAUUUAUUAUGCACCCUGCAAAUAAUUAUACCUAUAGUUAAACUUAUAGCUCAGAAGCUGCAUUCAGUAGUUGGCAGGGUACGUUCCUCGCUGGUAUAGAUCCUUUGACCUCAUUAGGCUCACAUCAGGAGUGAAUCUGGUCCUUUGUGUUUUCAGAAUAAAUCAUAGAUCUUUUUCAUCUCCGCAUCUCGGGAGUAUAGGUUGCUCCUCCGUCGGCUGUCAUCACGAUCUGACUUAGGUUUUGUUUCAGGAUCCUGCCUGGCCUUCCUUAAAGGCUGUGUGGAGUUCUCCUGGUAAUAACAGCAACUUUCCCAGAGGGCUUAAAUUAGGAUUCAUUUCCCACGUUUUGGAAAGUUGCUUUCCCUUUUCUGAAAAUUAAAGCAAACAUACCCUCUCCCCACCAUGCAUUAUUGAAAGUUCAACAAGAGCCAUCCCUUGGAGGAGGAAUGAAGGCCUGUAUAACAAACUUGCACUCUUUAGGGAACAAUGACAUUAAGUGUCAAGUUUAUAAACUCCCAUCCGCAGUGGCAUUAACACCCGCUGGAAUCCAUUCGGCACUCAGGACCCUUGAGCUAUUACUUUGUAGGUUACAUUUAGGUCACAUUUUCUCUGUGAACACAAGUACAAGAGAAUUACCUUUUAUCUUCAUAAAAGCAAGACUCCGUGGUGGUGGUUUUUUUAAAAAAAGAAAAAGCAAACCUACAAUGCCAGAACAAGUCAAAGGCUGCUCUGCUCUGCUCUGCUCGGUUCCCCAGGAGAAAGACGCAGUAUGCUUUUGAGGAACAGACCUUGGGACCCUACUGAAGUUACUCCUACCCUUGGUUUCCAGAGGUACAUCUCGCUCCUGGCAGCUCAGAGUCCGGCCAACACUCCGGGGGGAUAUUUUUAUGUGCCGACCUUCAGGACAGCGCUGAGAGCAGGUCCUUCUUCCCCAUAGUGAGCGACUGAAGCCUGUUAGGUAUGCAACUGGAACAAGAAAAGAGAGGGAAUUAGAAACCCCAGAAUGCCUUCAUUUGAGGAUCACACCUGCCUAAAAUCCAGGACUUUGUUCUGUGCCCUCCUUGCCUGAGUUAUCCUGGCUAAAUGCAGCGCCCAGGCAGUGUUCAAAUGAAACUAAACGUAAUCCCUAAGAGGUUAAUUGAGCAUGAAUGCUCAGCGCUAAUCCAAACUACAAAUACUGCAUGCAUUUAAAGCUGAGUGAUAAACUGUUUUCUCAUCCCAUAUUAAAAACCUUUCACCAUUUUAUGAAGUGUUUGCCCCGUGCAGAGGAUGACACAAUUUCUUUCUGAUUUGUUUGAAUUCUCUCUGCAAACAUGCAGGUUUGAGCCCCAUUCAGAACAGGCCGUAGCUCGUGAUCAGGCUUCUUCCUGCCUCUGGCUUGAAGUGAGCAGGCAAAUGCACCCGUGAAUCCCAUUUCCAUCAACUUGCAAGUCUUUUUCACGGUGGUUUUCACCCCGUACACCUUGAAGCUGGAGCAUCCCUCUCAAGCGGGGUGCUGCCAUCGGUGGGACUGGAGCUUGCUGGUGUUACCCUCAGCUCCUCCCUGGGGACAGCAGCGAUUCUCCCCCAUUCCCUGCGGCAUCAUUAUUUCUACUCUGCAAUAAGACUUAUUAAUCUUUAUGGGCCAGCCCUGUAAUCAGGAGAGCUCAAUAAAACUGACACCAUCACCCCUCCUUGCACUGCCAUCUGCACUGGGAAUCGCCCUACCCCGACCACAGCUCUAGUGAACCAGGAGAGCUCUGAAACUGGGCAGGGGGUGUGUGAAUGCUGCAACUAAAGGGAAAUGCUUCAAGCAGGGUGGAAAUACAGUUCAGUCCAACGGAUUAUGUAAAAGCACAGUAUUUGGUGCCUGUGAGCAAGGUGGGGGGGUGCUGCCCACUGGGUGCCCUGCUCAGAGAGAAGGGGCAGCAACCGAGGGUCCCGCGGCACAGACCUCUCUUCCCCGAGCAGGACACAAAGGGGUUUAGUCUCCACGGUCUGUAGUAAGCUAUUUUCAGCUUAUACAUUUGUUAUUGCCAAGAUCGGCCAUCCAAAAUGCCUACUUAUCAUGCAAAAUGUGGAACUAGGUAUGUGCUGCCCAUUGUACAUCAAAGUAAUUGAUUUUUUUUUAUAAUGGAAACUGUCUGAUGAUUCACUGGGGUAAAUCAAGCAAAACAGUAGAAAAGCGAGAUGGAAAAUAGGAAGGGAACCAGGACCGGUAAUAAAUCAUGAUAGAUGGUAUUCAGUAUAUUGCUAUAGCAGUAAGUCAAUAGAGUGCUAAGCUGCAUAAAUAAAAGAUAAUGUGUUUCAUCUCUGCAGGGUGUUGCUCAGGCUGUACCUAUUAAAAGGAUCACCUAGGUCUGCAGAAAAUACACACAGCAACAAGUUUUGCCAUAUUGUCCUGAUAAAUCAGAUCUGUAUUAAGAUUGUAAGAGUUACUUUGCCAAAAUGGAGGGGGAAAUGAAUAUUUCGCAUUACUGCAGCUACAGGGAAACACACGCAGAUAUGGAAAAAUACUCCUUACUGGUGUACUGAGGUAUGUGGAAGCGGAAGCUCAAAUUCUCCUGGAAUGACGAGGAGGUGGGACAGUUUGCUGUUUCUGUGAUUUCCAGGGAUUAAAGUCAGCUUCCUCUUGCUUAAGAUCUACAUGAAUAAGGCUACACAGGGA